RNAcentral lists this ribosomal RNA (500 nucleotides) under uncultured Glomeromycotina. RNAcentral's name for it is "partial small subunit ribosomal RNA". It matches the Rfam family "Eukaryotic small subunit ribosomal RNA", at positions 591 to 1092 of the family's 1831-position model. The record is from RNAcentral. Lineage: Eukaryota; Fungi; Glomeromycota.
CCAAUAGCGUAUAUUAAAGUUGUUGCAGUUAAAAAGCUCGUAGUUGAAUUUCGGGGUUAGUAGGUUGGUCAUGCCUCUGGUAUGUACUGGUCUCACUGAUUCCUCCUUCCUGAUGAGCCGUAAUGCCAUUAAUUUGGUGUUGCGGGGAAUUUGGACUGUUACUUUGAAAAAAUUCGAGUGUUUAAAGCAGGCUCACGCUUGAAUACAUUAGCAUGGAAUAAUGAAAUAGGACGUUCGAUCCUAUUUUGUUGGUUUCUAGGAUUGACGUAAUGAUUAAUAGGGAUAGUUGGGGGCAUUAGGAUUCAAUUGUCAGAGGUGAAAUUCUUGGAUUUAUUGAAGACUAACUACUGCGAAAGCAUUUGCCAAGGAUGUUUUCAUUAAUCAAGAACGAAAGUUAGGGGAUCGAAGACGAUCAGAUACCGUCGUAGCCUUAACCAUAAACUAUGCCGACUAGGGAUCGGAUGAUGUUAAUUUUUUAAUGACUCAUUCGGCGCCUUACG